This is a long non-coding RNA of Danaus plexippus (monarch butterfly), 327 nucleotides long. RefSeq lists it as uncharacterized. The transcript is spliced from 2 exons. Lineage: Eukaryota; Metazoa; Arthropoda; Insecta; Lepidoptera; Nymphalidae. The record is from RefSeq and is a predicted model, not a curated record.
UUGUAUAUCUUUAUUCAGAUAAAGAUAACUCAGCGUACAAUUUUUGUAUCGUAACCACAAAAAAAAAACAGAUCUAUUCCAAAAUUUGUUAAGUUACAAAAAAAAUUCAAAUUUGUACAUGAAAAAAAAAUUUUUUUUUCACGACAAUAAAAUAACACUAUACGUGUUUCGUUUGAGCAGAAUCGAGAUAUUGGAAACUUCUUCGUUCAUCUAUAUAAGGGCAACAGCUUAAAUCAUCCUUCUCUUUGCUAGUGAUUGGAAAUGUAUUGAACAACUCCGUAAUACUACAUCUCAUAUUCGAGUCAAGUAUCAAUUUGGCAUCGUUUU